GGACGCUUAGCUCAGUUGGUUAGAGCAUCUGCCUUACAAGCAGAGGGUCGUAGGUUCGAGUCCUAUAGCGUCCACCA
This 77-nucleotide transfer RNA is filed under the name Succinatimonas hippei. RNAcentral's name for it is "tRNA-Val". It matches the Rfam family "tRNA". Rfam says of the family: Transfer RNA (tRNA) molecules are approximately 80 nucleotides in length. Their secondary structure includes four short double-helical elements and three loops (D, anti-codon, and T loops). The record is from RNAcentral. Lineage: Bacteria; Pseudomonadati; Pseudomonadota; Gammaproteobacteria; Aeromonadales; Succinivibrionaceae. RNAcentral also lists the same sequence under 1 other name.